UAUGAAAAGAAACAAGAAAAAGAAAUCACCCUUGAAACCAUAGAGCAAAGAAAAAGAAAAGAAAGAAAAAAAAACAAAGAAAAGGCUCAUGGUUGUGUGGAUGUAAAAAGAAAAAGAAAAGAAAAAGACGGGGAUCAAAGAAAUGGAAAUUGUGUAGAGUUGAAUGUAUGGGAAUGCUCCCUUAGGAUAGACAACUUUGUUGAAUUCUCUUAAUCAUAUCCUUUCUUGUAA
RNAcentral lists this long non-coding RNA (231 nucleotides) under Lathyrus oleraceus (garden pea). RNAcentral describes it as "Pisum sativum (pea) long non-coding RNA (PSAT_LNC018184)". Lineage: Eukaryota; Viridiplantae; Streptophyta; Magnoliopsida; Fabales; Fabaceae. The record is from RNAcentral.